UGGAGCCGACCUUGAAAUACCACCCUUGUAUGUUUGAUGUUCUAACGAAGGCUGCUGAAUCGCGGCUUCGGACAGUGUCUGGUGGGUAGUUUGACUGGGGCGGUCUCCUCCUAAAGAGUAACGGAGGAGCACGAAGGUUGGCUAAGUACGGUCGGACAUCGUACGGUUAGUGUAAUGGUAGAAGCCAGCUUAACUGCGAGACAGACACGUCGAGCAGGUACGAAAGUAGGUCAUAGUGAUCCGGUGGUUCUGAAUGGAAGGGCCAUCGCUCAACGGAUAAAAGGUACUCCGGGGAUAACAGGCUGAUACCGCCCAAGAGUUCAUAUCGACGGCGGUGUUUGGCACCUCGAUGUCGGCUCAUCACAUCCUGGGGCUGAAGUCGGUCCCAAGGGUAUGGCUGUUCGCCAUUUAAAGUGGUACGCGAGCUGGGUUUAGAACGUCGUGAGACAGUUCGGUCCCUAUCUGCCGUGGGCGUUGGAUAAUUGAGUGGAGUUGCUCCUAGUACGAGAGGACCGGAGUGAACGAACCGCUGGUGUUCGGGUUGUCAUGCCAAUGGCACUGCCCGGUAGCUAUGUUCGGAACGGAUAACCGCUGAAAGCAUCUAAGCGGGAAGCCGGCCACAAGAUGAGUUAUCCCUCAGACUAUAAGUCUGCAUAAGGGUCGUUGGAGACCACAACGUUGAUAGGCAGGGUGUGGAAGCGUGGCGACACGUUAAGCUAACCUGUACUAAUUGCCCGAGAGGCUUAACCAU
RNAcentral lists this ribosomal RNA (751 nucleotides) under Alkalimonas collagenimarina. RNAcentral describes it as "partial 23S ribosomal RNA". It matches the Rfam family "Bacterial large subunit ribosomal RNA", at positions 2181 to 2925 of the family's 2925-position model. Lineage: Bacteria; Pseudomonadati; Pseudomonadota; Gammaproteobacteria. The record is from RNAcentral.